UGGGGAAUUUUGGACAAUGGGGGCAACCCUGAUCCAGCCAUGCCGCGUGCGGGAAGAAGGCCUUCGGGUUGUAAACCGCUUUUAGUCGGGAAGAAAAGGCAGGGGCUAACACCUCUUGUUCUUGACGGUACCGGCGGAAUAAGCACCGGCUAACUACGUGCCAGCAGCCGCGGUAAUACGUAGGGUGCGAGCGUUAAUCGGAAUUACUGGGCGUAAAGCGUGCGCAGGCGGUUUGUUAAGUCUGAUGUGAAAGCCCCGGGCUCAACCUGGGAAUGGCAUUGGAAACUGGCAAGCUCGAGUGCGGCAGAGGGGGUGGAAUUCCGCGUGUAGCAGUGAAAUGCGUAGAGAUGCGGAGGAACACCGAUGGCGAAGGCAGCCCCCUGGGCCGACACUGACGCUCAG
Molecule: ribosomal RNA, 402 nt
Filed under: uncultured bacterium
Lineage: Bacteria
Description: bacterial SSU rRNA
Rfam family: Bacterial small subunit ribosomal RNA
Source: RNAcentral